RNAcentral lists this ribosomal RNA (431 nucleotides) under uncultured bacterium. RNAcentral describes it as "partial 16S ribosomal RNA". It matches the Rfam family "Bacterial small subunit ribosomal RNA", at positions 29 to 507 of the family's 1533-position model. The record is from RNAcentral.
AACGAACGCUGGCGGCAGGCUUAACACAUGCAAGUCGAGCGCCCCGCCAGGGGAGCGGCAGACGGGUGAGUAGCGCGUGGGAACGUACCUUUUGGUUCGGAACAACUCCGGGAAACUGGAGCUAAUACCGGAUAAGCCCUAACGGGGAAAGAUUUAUCGCCGAAAGAUCGGCCCGCGUCUGAUUAGCUAGUUGGUGAGGUAACGGCUCACCAAGGCGACGAUCAGUAGCUGGUCUGAGAGGAUGAUCAGCCACACUGGGACUGAGACACGGCCCAGACUCCUACGGGAAGCAGCAGUGGGGAAUAUUGGACAAUGGGCGCAAGCCUGAUCCAGCCAUGCCGCGUGAGUGAUGAAGGCCUUAGGGUUGUAAAGCUCUUUUGUCCGGGAAGAUAAUGACUGUACCGGAAGAAUAAGCCCCGGCUAACUUCGUG